Molecule: long non-coding RNA, 423 nt
Organism: Oncorhynchus tshawytscha (Chinook salmon)
Lineage: Eukaryota; Metazoa; Chordata; Actinopteri; Salmoniformes; Salmonidae
Source: Ensembl
UGUGAGGCUGCAGGGUGUGUGAGGCUGCAUUGUGUGUGAGGUUGCAGUGUGUGUGAGGCUGCAGUGUGUGUGAGGCUGCAUGGUGUGUGAGGCUGCAUGGUGUGUGAGGCUGCAGGGUGUGUGAGGCUGGCAGUGAAAUGCUGAAUACAACAGGUGUAUCAGUGAAAUGCUGAAUACAACAGGUAUAGCAGUGAAAUGCUGAAUACAAGCCUUAACCUUAACCAACAAAAACAGUUAAAAAAAAAAAAAAACCUACAAAAAGUAACAAAUAAUUUAAGAGCAGUAAAACAACUUUUUAAAAUUUUAUUUAACCAGGCAAGUCAGUUAAGAACUAAUUCUUAUUUUCAAUGACGGUCUAGGAACAGUGGGUUAACUGGUCUAGGAACAGUGGGUUAACUGGUCUAGGAACAGUGGGAUAACUGG